GUCUCAAAAAACCAAAAUAUCCUGUUCAGUGAAUACCAAGAAACCGACAGGAGUAGAACAAAAGUUAACAUACCAAGGCCUUUUGCUGAAGAAGGAGGCAUGAGAGGAGCAGUGCAUUACAGUCAAAACUCCACCCUCAGCAAAAAGAACAGAGGAACAAAAACAGCAAGCCGAGCUCAUGGACAUCUCCUGCAUUUGAGGCAAUUGAAGCCGAAGCUGCUGCUUUGCCCCUCACCAUGCUCCUGCUGUCUUCAGCAGAGCCCUGCAGAGCUGGGUCAUUGGGUCCUAUGAGAUCAACCCUUCCUGGAAAAGUGGUGGGUGCAGCCCCAGCGCUGUCAAUGCUGCCUUGCACUGGGAGAGUGCAUUUGUGGAGUGUGAAAGCCAGUACAAAUCAUAAAGAGCUGGAGGAGGCAGGAAGGAAUACAGGUAAAAAAAUACAACACCUGUAAGGUAAGCCUGAGAAAAGUUAUGGUUAUUUACUCAAAGCAAGACUAAAGGAACAUGUGAUAAGCAUUUCCAAACACAGCAGUAUAGUGUGCUGAUCAUAAUGUCGGUUCAGAUGCAGCAAGGAUUGGAACAAGGCAGGUUUAGGUCAGAGAUUCCCCAUUGGUUUCCAGCUGCCAGGAGAGUCACACUACUGAGUGGAGUGCCAGGGGAGAUGCUCCAGAAUUUGCUUAUGGAGGUCUGGGGAGGCUGGUAAGUAAAGCACUGUCAGUCAGGAAUGGUUUGUAUGCAAAUUCUACUGCCUUGGUUCUUCGGGAUGGACUAACAGACAUAUUGAGUCCAUUCCAGCCCUGUUUGCUGAGAUUUCCACAUUGUAUAAACUCAAGUGUAGGUCUGACCUAGCUGGAAUGUUUUUGCCAUUAAGUGAAACAAAAGGCUUACAGAUGUGAAUGGCAAAUUACGUACUGCAAAUUAAAGCUUUAAGAAAUUAAGCAUGGCCUUUUCACAUUGUAUUUAUACUUUUUGAAAGUUAUUUUAGUUCACUGCAUAUAAAUAACAAGUUGAGAAUUGCUGUUCUUAAUUGAAACCAUCUCUACU
Lagopus leucura (white-tailed ptarmigan) is the source of this 1041-nucleotide long non-coding RNA. RefSeq lists it as uncharacterized. NCBI's taxonomy places the organism in Eukaryota, Metazoa, Chordata, Aves, Galliformes, Phasianidae. The transcript is spliced from 3 exons. The record is from RefSeq and is a predicted model, not a curated record.